UACGUAGGGCGCAAGCGUUGUCCGGAAUUAUUGGGCGUAAAGAGCUCGUAGGCGGUUUGUCGCGUCUGCUGUGAAAACCUAAGGCUCAACCUUGAGCUUGCAGUGGGUACGGGCAGACUAGAGUGUGGUAGGGGAGACUGGAAUUCCUGGUGUAGCGGUGAAAUGCGCAGAUAUCAGGAGGAACACCGAUGGCGAAGGCAGGUCUCUGGGCCACUACUGACGCUGAGAAGCGAAAGCAUGGGGAGCGAACAGG
This 253-nucleotide ribosomal RNA is filed under the name uncultured bacterium. RNAcentral's name for it is "partial 16S ribosomal RNA". It matches the Rfam family "Bacterial small subunit ribosomal RNA", at positions 524 to 776 of the family's 1533-position model. The record is from RNAcentral.